This 254-nucleotide ribosomal RNA is filed under the name uncultured bacterium. RNAcentral describes it as "partial 16S ribosomal RNA". It matches the Rfam family "Bacterial small subunit ribosomal RNA", at positions 524 to 776 of the family's 1533-position model. The record is from RNAcentral.
UACGUAGGAUGCAAGCGUUUGUCCGGAAUUAUUGGGCGUAAAGAGUUCGUAGGCGGUUGCCUAAGUCUGGUGUUAAAUACAGGAGCUCAACUCCUGCAUGGCACUGGAAACUGGGCCGGCUAGAGUAUGGUAGAGGUCACGGGAAUUCCAGGUGUAGCGGUGAAAUGCGUAGAUAUUGGGAAGAACACCGGUGGCGAAGGCGGCUCACUGGCUCGUUCUGACGCUCAGGCGCGACAGCGUGGGGAUCAAACAGG